GUUACCUACGGGGCGCAGCAGUGAGGAAUAUUGGUCGAUGGCCGAGAGGCUGAACCAGCCAAGUCGCGUGAGGGAAGACGGCCCUACGGGUUGUAAACCUCUUUUGUCGGGGAGCAAAGCGAGACACGUGUGACUCAUUGAGAGUACCCGAAGAAAAAGCAUCGGCUAACUCCGCGCCAGCAGCCGCGGUAAUACGGAGGAUGCGAGCGUUAUCCGGAUAUAUUGGGUUUAAAGGGUGCGCAGGCGGAGGU
This 251-nucleotide ribosomal RNA is filed under the name uncultured bacterium. RNAcentral describes it as "partial 16S ribosomal RNA". It matches the Rfam family "Bacterial small subunit ribosomal RNA", at positions 334 to 582 of the family's 1533-position model. The record is from RNAcentral.